Molecule: non-coding RNA, 738 nt
Organism: Arachis ipaensis
Lineage: Eukaryota; Viridiplantae; Streptophyta; Magnoliopsida; Fabales; Fabaceae
Source: RefSeq, a predicted model, not a curated record
CCGACUUAUAAUUACUAACCAUCAGAGUGGCGCAGCGGAAGCGUGGUGGGCCCAUAACCCACAGGUCCCUGGAUCGAAACCAGGCUCUGAUAUAAAAAAGAGAAGCUUCUCCCACUUUAACAGGAUUUUGGGGAAAAUGGCAUGACUUGAUACUUGAACUGCAGAUAGAGAGAAGUAUGUGGAAAAAUUUGCCGUGUCUACACCAACACUUCUAUUUAAUCUUGAACUAGACACACUACGGAAUUCACAAAGACACAAACAAAUGCUAUACAUACAACAUCAACAAAGUCUUAUUUCACUUGAGGAGAGAAGCUCUCUACAAUUUCUUCGAAGAGGCUACAAGGCAAGCACAUGGUGGGAAGAAGAUUUUGAUUUGGAAGCAUCUUCUGCAUGGAGGAGCUGAUCACUACACUAUAAAACUAAUAUAAGAGAUUCUCUCUGUUUUUUUUGUUAUUUAAAUGUAAGUAUUAUGUAAUAUUCCCAAUUUUCUGUUCAGUUUGAAACCAAUGUGACCCAUUUUGUGGCAUUUAUAGUUGAAUUGUUGCAAACAAAUAUCAGAUGGAAUUUCCAAACCCAAUUGUAACAAAUCAUAUUGUGGGAAUCCACCAAAGUAUACCAGCAAUUAGUUUGAUAAAAGGUUAAAGAAACCCAUCAUAUCCCUGAAAAGACCAUUAAUCUCUCUAUCUUGCGGAAUUGAUUUGGAUCCUCUCAUACUUAGAAUAAAAAAGUUUGCUCUAA